UGCGCCUGCAAAGGAGGCAGCCCUGUUCGCAUAAAGACGUUUUGCAGGUAACAGGACAAGGUAUCCUCUCGUGAUCAGCAAUUUUGCUGAUUCAAAAUCUUUC
This 103-nucleotide small RNA is filed under the name uncultured Prevotella sp. Its description in RNAcentral is "RT-5 RNA". It matches the Rfam family "RT-5 RNA". Rfam says of the family: Clostridium (Firmicutes). Environment (Cow rumen (57)) The record is from RNAcentral. Lineage: Bacteria; Pseudomonadati; Bacteroidota; Bacteroidia; Bacteroidales; Prevotellaceae.